Molecule: non-coding RNA, 141 nt
Organism: Aegilops tauschii subsp. strangulata
Lineage: Eukaryota; Viridiplantae; Streptophyta; Magnoliopsida; Poales; Poaceae
Source: RefSeq, a predicted model, not a curated record
GUCAGAGAAUGGGAACGUAUUGGAAGAUCUUAAUGAAAACAAUGAGCAUGAUGAUGGUGAGGAAAACAACUCGGAGAUCUCGAAUGAAGAUUACAUUAGUCAGCUCAUUUCCGAAUGUCAUAAUGCGUACGACUAUUACGG